GAUGAACGCUGGCGGCGUGCCUAAUACAUGCAAGUCGAGCGAACAGAUGAGGAGCUUGCUCCUCUGACGUUAGCGGCGGACGGGUGAGUAACACGUGGAUAACCUACCUAUAAUACUGGGAUAACUUCGGGAAACCGGAGCUAAUACCGGAUAAUAUAUUGAACCGCAUGGUUCAAUAGUGAAAGACGGUUUUGCUGUCACUUAUAGAUGGAUCCGCGCCGCAUUAGCUAGUUGGUAAGGUAACGGCUUACCAAGGCGACGAUGCGUAGCCGACCUGAGAGGGUGAUCGGCCACACUGGAACUGAGACACGGUCCAGACUCCUACGGGAGGCAGCAGUAGGGAAUCUUCCGCAAUGGGCGAAAGCCUGACGGAGCAACGCCGCGUGAGUGAUGAAGGUCUUCGGAUCGUAAAACUCUGUUAUUAGGGAAGAACAAAUGUGUAAGUAACUAUGCACGUCUUGACGGUACCUAAUCAGAAAGCCACGGCUAACUACGUG
Molecule: ribosomal RNA, 497 nt
Filed under: uncultured bacterium
Lineage: Bacteria
Description: partial 16S ribosomal RNA
Rfam family: Bacterial small subunit ribosomal RNA
Source: RNAcentral